Molecule: long non-coding RNA, 2003 nt
Organism: Cucurbita moschata (crookneck pumpkin)
Lineage: Eukaryota; Viridiplantae; Streptophyta; Magnoliopsida; Cucurbitales; Cucurbitaceae
Exons: 3
Source: RefSeq, a predicted model, not a curated record
UUCAGCCAAUUAAGGCGAACCAAUCAUGGCUUCUUGUGGCUCCGAACACUCAGAUGGAAGGCGUUCGGGAGAUUUUAGAGUGUUGAUUCUUCAGGGAAACCUGCUCUGCGAGUGGAAAUGGCGAAAACGUCGGUACAGUUCAGAUCACGAGGGCUUAGAUUUAUGGCGGAGACCUAACAUUUGGUGCAAGACUCCGAUUCAACCACAGAAAUGUUACAAAGCAAGCUUGUUGUAGAUUUAUUAAUCCGUUUUAUGUACGAUAAGGCACAUUUCGUAGCUUGUUGGAUUAUACUUUUCAGGAGGUGUUCAGAAUCUACUUGGUUUGACACUUUCCCCUUGCUGUUGCCUCGAUAAUUUCUUUUGAAGUGGAUCAACUAUCUGUUUGGCUCAUUCAAAUCCCUAGAAAUUGAGGUUAGAUUGUUUUUGGUGCUUGCUCUACCUCUAUUACUUCAUCUGAGAGUUUCAAGGAUAAACGAAGAAAUAGACAGAUUUAGAUUGAGCCUCAUACUCUGGAUGAUACUCUGAUAAAGAUCUUGAAAUAAGUUAUGAUUUCAAUCCAUUAGGAGAUUAGAUUUCUUAUUAUUUUUACAUAGUUUCUUUUUGCCCGUUCCAGUUCACUUGUUCAUGUGCUAUAACCAUUUAGAGGCGUUGUAACGCAGUUUUUCUUCUCAUUAUUUGUUUAUCAUUGAUAUCGACUUUUCAAUAAAGAUCCCGUUUGAACUGCUCAGCCGAUGCCUUGGAAUUUUGCCGGACAGAGGAUACCAACACCACAAUUUGUAUAUUAUAUCAGUGUCAGCACACCGGACUGCUUCUUCCCGGUACUGCUAUGUUUUAAAUGAAAAUUCUCCUAGAAUUUCCUUUCAAGGGGUCAGUACGUAGCCAUGGUUUUGGAUAUGCAUUUGAAUACUUGGAUAUGGGGUUAUGCCCUCUGAUUUUAUCCUGUUUUGUGGGUGAUAUUCUGAUGCUAUCUUGCCUGUUAGUUGUUUUUCUACCUUGAACUUGUCUCCUAAUUCAUAAUAGUUUUCAUUAAAUGUCAAAGCUCCUAAUACCAUCUUGACAUAUCCAUAGUGUUCGUCUCAAUUUUGCUGAUGAUCUUACAUUUUUGUAGAUAGUGAAGAUGGGAUCUGAUGGUUCGCUGAGGCAUUAAAGGUUAUGAUCAAGUGGGUCAUAGAUAAUCUUCCAUGAAAUGAUGGAGGAUUAUUGGGCGGGAGUUUCACAUUAGCUAAUUUAGGGAAUGAUCAUGGGUUUAUAAAUAAGGAAUACAUCCCUAUUGAUAUGAGGCAUUUUGGGAAGCCCAAAGCAAAAUCAUGAGAGCUUAUGCUCAAAGUUGGACAAUAUCAUUUCAUUGUGGAGAGUCGUGAUUUCUAACAUGAUGCAUCUCUCAAAAUUCUGGUCGAAUGCAUUGUGAUACCAAGAAUUUUUAGCCUGAAUACUGUUCGGGCGCCAAACUUCUAGUUGGACCCCAAGUUUCAGGUGCCAAGAAUGUCUGGCCAUUUCCCGGCACCAUCCUAUUUGGUAUCCAUUAGGAAGUGAAAUCAAGGAGUCAUCCAUUGGAAGUGGAACAACUCUAUCUCUCUGUUCAAUUACAACUCUAAUUGCAGGGUGCUUUGGAAGAAACCAUAUUCUGGGCAGGCGAGAAUCAGAAGCUUUCCCAACGCCAUGGCUAUAUACACCAAAGUUUCGGUUGGUUUGGUUCUUGUACUCUCUGCCUUUUCUGUUAACAUUGCAUUGGAAUCUCAUCUUUGGAGGGCUAAAUCAAACCACACUCGUUCUAACAUGCUUGUAUUUCAUACGUGUCAUGUUGGCUUAGCACAGAAAUGACAAUUUAGCUCAUCAUCUGUUCAUGCAUCACAGGGCCAACAGAUAAUGAUUCCUCGUUGCAUUCAUGAAGAGAAGAGGUAUUAAUGUAUCGACUAAUUAAGUCGUGUUUAGGUCUGCAUGCAAGGCUGUUAUCGGAACCAUCGGCUCAUCUAUGAUAAAUCUCUUUGUGUGGUUUGUGUGGU